CCGUUUGUGGAGCUUGCGAGGUUAUGUCGAUUGUCCGAGUUUUGUAGCACCCGUUCGGUAACCGUGUACCCGAGGCAGCAAAACAAUGCUGUUGAUUCGACAUUUCCUCCUAGAGCUAUCGCACAAUGGAUACGAGAGUUGUAGAGGGAGACAUUGUUCAAUUAAGCAAGGAUGCGAGGGGUUAGAAGUUCCAUUGUUCAUCUUGGCCCAAGCUUGAAAAAAGAAAAAUCGCAAAUAUUCUCGCGUAUAAAAAAGCGACCUACUGGGUCGAGGUUUUCCAAGAAUUUUUUCUGGUUUUGUUUAAUAAUAAAUAAAGAGCAUUUUUCAAA
Molecule: long non-coding RNA, 329 nt
Organism: Venturia canescens
Lineage: Eukaryota; Metazoa; Arthropoda; Insecta; Hymenoptera; Ichneumonidae
Exons: 2
Source: RefSeq, a predicted model, not a curated record